This 349-nucleotide ribosomal RNA is filed under the name uncultured bacterium. RNAcentral's name for it is "partial 16S ribosomal RNA". It matches the Rfam family "Bacterial small subunit ribosomal RNA", at positions 330 to 696 of the family's 1533-position model. The record is from RNAcentral.
GCCAGACUCCUACGGGAGGCAGCAGGGGGGGAUAUUGCACAAUGGGGGGAACCCUGAUGCAGCGACGCCGCGUGGGUGAAGAAGCGCCUCGGCGCGUAAAGCCUUGUCAGCAGGGAAGAAAAUGACGGUACCUGAGGAAGAAGCCCCGGCUAACUACGUGCCAGCAGCCGCGGGAAUACGUAGGGGGCAAGCGUUAUCCGGAUUUACUGGGUGUAAAGGGGGCGCAGACGGCGAUGCAAGCCAGGAGUGAAAGCCCGGGGCCCAACCCCGGGACUGCUCUUGGAACUGCGUGGCUGGAGUGCAGGAGGGGCAGGCGGAAUUCCUGGUGUAGCGGUGAAAUGCGUAGAUA